CCUACGGGCGGCAGCAGUGGGGGAUAUUGCACAAUGGGGGAAACCCUGAUGCAGCGACGCCGCGUGUGGGAAGACGGUCCUCUGGAUUGUAAACCACUGUCCCCAGGGACGAAGAUGACGGUACCUGGGGAGGACGCUCCGGCUAACUCCGUGCCCGCAGCCGCGGUACUACGUAGGGCGCGAGCGUUGUCCGGAAUUACUGGGUGUAAAGGGAGCGUAGGCGUGGAUGCAAGUUGGGUGUCAAAACUACCGGCUCAACUGGUAGUCGCACUCAAAACUGCAGCUCUUGAGUGAAGUAGAGGCAGGCGGAAUUCCUAGUGUAGCGGUGAAAUGCGUAGAUAUUAGGAGGAACACCAGUGGCGAAGGCGGCCUGCUGGGCUUUUACUGACGCUGAGGCUCGAAAGUGUGGGGAGCAAACAGGAGUAGAUACCCUUGUAGUC
This 440-nucleotide ribosomal RNA is filed under the name uncultured bacterium. RNAcentral's name for it is "partial 16S ribosomal RNA". It matches the Rfam family "Bacterial small subunit ribosomal RNA", at positions 338 to 795 of the family's 1533-position model. The record is from RNAcentral.